UGGGGAAUAUUGGGCAAUGGGCGCAAGCCUGAACCAGCCAUCCCGCGUGCAGGAAGACGGCCCUAUGGGUUGUAAACUGCUUUUCCAGGGGGAGAAUUUUUCUGUCGUGACAGGAAUUGACGGUACCCUGGGAAUAAGCAUCGGCUAACUCCGUGCCAGCAGCCGCGGUAAUACGGAGGAUGCGAGCGUUAUCCGGAUUUAUUGGGUUUAAAGGGUGCGUAGGCGGAUAGAUAAGUCAGUGGUGAAAACCUGCAGCUUAACUGUAGACUUGCCGUUGAUACUGUCAGUCUUGAGUAUGGUCAAGGUAGGCGGAAUGUGUAAUGUAGCGGUGAAAUGCUUAGAUAUUACACAGAACACCGAUUGCGAAGGCAGCUUGCUGGGCCAUUACUGACGCUGAGGCACGAAAGCGUGGGGAGCAAACA
Molecule: ribosomal RNA, 422 nt
Filed under: uncultured prokaryote
Description: bacterial SSU rRNA
Rfam family: Bacterial small subunit ribosomal RNA
Source: RNAcentral